Molecule: ribosomal RNA, 245 nt
Filed under: uncultured bacterium
Lineage: Bacteria
Description: partial small subunit ribosomal RNA
Rfam family: Bacterial small subunit ribosomal RNA
Source: RNAcentral
AGAAUCAACGCUGGCGGCGUGCCUAACACAUGCAAGUCGCACGAGAAAGUGGAGCAAUCCACGAGUAAAGUGGCGCACGGGUGAGUAACACGUGAAUAAUCUACCUCCGAGUGGGGAAUAACUGAGAGAAAUCUUAGCUAAUACCGCAUAAUACCCACGGGUCAAAGCAGCAAUGCGCUUGGAGAGGAGUUCGCGGCCGAUUAGCUAGUUGGCGGGGUAAUGGCCCACCAGGGCGAUGAUCGGUA